GAUGAACGCUGGCGGCGUGCCUAACACAUGCAAGUCGAACGGAGAUUACGGACGGAAGUUUUCGGAUGGAAGACUGUACUUCUUAGUGGCGGACGGGUGAGUAACGCGUGGGCAACCUGCCCUAUACAGGGGGAUAGCAGCUGGAAACGGCUGGUAAGACCGCAUAAGUCGGUUAAAUCGCAUGAUUUGAUCGGGAAAUGAGCAAUCAGGUAUAGGAUGGGCCCGCGUCCGAUUAGCCAGUUGGCAGGGUAAAAGCCUACCAAAGCGACGAUCGGUAGCCGGACUGAGAGGUCGGACGGCCACAUUGGGACUGAGACACGGCCCAAACUCCUACGGGAGGCAGCAGUGGGGGAUAUUGCACAAUGGAGGAAACUCUGAUGCAGCGACGCCGCGUGAGUGAAGAAGUAUUUCGGUAUGUAAAGCUCUAUCAGCAGGGAAGAUGAUGACGGUACCUGACUAAGAAGCCCCGGCUAACUACGUG
This 481-nucleotide ribosomal RNA is filed under the name uncultured bacterium. Its description in RNAcentral is "partial 16S ribosomal RNA". It matches the Rfam family "Bacterial small subunit ribosomal RNA", at positions 28 to 507 of the family's 1533-position model. The record is from RNAcentral.